UCCGGCAUAACCCCGGGAAACUGGGGAUAAUUCCGGAUAACGCACAUAUGCUGGAAUGUUUUAUGCGUAAAAUGGAUUCGUCUGCCCAAGGAUGGGUCUUCCGCCUAUCAGGUAGUAAUGGGUGUAAUGUACCUACUAGCCUACACCGGGUACGGGUUGUGAGAGCAAGAGCCCGAAGAUGGAUUCUGAGACAUGAAUCCAGGCCCUACGGGGCGCAGCAGGCGCGAAAACUUUACAAUGCGGGAAACCGUGAUAAGGAGACACCGAGUGCUAGCAUCAUAUGCUGGCUGUCCAGGUGUAUAAAAUACACUUGUUAGCAAGGGCCGGGCAAGACCGGUGCCAGCCGCCGCGGUAACACCGGCGGCCCGAGUGGUGAUCGUGAUUAUUGGGUCUAAAGGGUCCGUAGCCGGUUUGGUCAGUCCUCCGGGAAAUCUGAUAGCUCAACUAUUAGGCUUUCGGGGGAUACUGCCAGACUUGGAACCGGGAGAGGUAAGAGGUACUACAGGGGUAGGAGUGAAAUCUUGUAAUCCCUGUGGGACCACCUGUGGCGAAGGCGACUUACCAGAACGGGUUCGACGGUGAGGGACGAAAGCUGGGGGCACGAACCGGAUUAGAUACCCGGGUAGUCCCAGCCGUAAACGAUGCUCGCUAGGUGUCAGGCAUGGCGCGACCGUGUCUGGUGCCGCAGGGAAGCCGUGAAGCGAGCCACCUGGGAAGUACGGCCGCAAGGCU
Molecule: ribosomal RNA, 732 nt
Filed under: uncultured Methanosarcinaceae archaeon
Lineage: Archaea; Methanobacteriati; Methanobacteriota; Methanomicrobia; Methanosarcinales; Methanosarcinaceae
Description: SSU rRNA
Rfam family: Archaeal small subunit ribosomal RNA
Source: RNAcentral